This 795-nucleotide ribosomal RNA is filed under the name Streptomyces griseoaurantiacus. RNAcentral describes it as "bacterial SSU rRNA". It matches the Rfam family "Bacterial small subunit ribosomal RNA", at positions 1 to 810 of the family's 1533-position model. The record is from RNAcentral. Lineage: Bacteria; Bacillati; Actinomycetota; Actinomycetes; Kitasatosporales; Streptomycetaceae.
CAUUCACGGAGAGUUUGAUCCUGGCUCAGGACGAACGCUGGCGGCGUGCUUAACACAUGCAAGUCGAACGAUGAACCACUUCGGUGGGGAUUAGUGGCGAACGGGUGAGUAACACGUGGGCAAUCUGCCCUGCACUCUGGGACAAGCCCUGGAAACGGGGUCUAAUACCGGAUACAACCACUGACCGCAUGGUCGGGUGGUGGAAAGCUCCGGCGGUGCAGGAUGAGCCCGCGGCCUAUCAGCUUGUUGGUGAGGUAGUGGCUCACCAAGGCGACGACGGGUAGCCGGCCUGAGAGGGCGACCGGCCACACUGGGACUGAGACACGGCCCAGACUCCUACGGGAGGCAGCAGUGGGGAAUAUUGCACAAUGGGCGAAAGCCUGAUGCAGCGACGCCGCGUGAGGGAUGACGGCCUUCGGGUUGUAAACCUCUUUCAGCAGGGAAGAAGCGAAAGUGACGGUACCUGCAGAAGAAGCGCCGGCUAACUACGUGCCAGCAGCCGCGGUAAUACGUAGGGCGCAAGCGUUGUCCGGAAUUAUUGGGCGUAAAGAGCUCGUAGGCGGCUUGUCACGUCGGUUGUGAAAGCCCGGGGCUUAACCCCGGGUCUGCAGUCGAUACGGGCAGGCUAGAGUUCGGUAGGGGAGAUCGGAAUUCCUGGUGUAGCGGUGAAAUGCGCAGAUAUCAGGAGGAACACCGGUGGCGAAGGCGGAUCUCUGGGCCGAUACUGACGCUGAGGAGCGAAAGCGUGGGGAGCGAACAGGAUUAGAUACCCUGGUAGUCCACGCCGUAAACGGU